This 5222-nucleotide long non-coding RNA is filed under the name Canis lupus familiaris (dog). RNAcentral's name for it is "lncRNA (ENSCAFG00030022817.1)". The record is from RNAcentral. Lineage: Eukaryota; Metazoa; Chordata; Mammalia; Carnivora; Canidae.
AUGAAACUCAACAUUUUGAAAAGUAAUAUGCAUUGGAGUGUUUCUCAGGAAAAGAAGAACAUCUGUAACUGGUUUCGAGAAAUGUCCUUGCGGAUGAAGGUGCCUAGGAGAGUGAUUCUGGAGAAGGAUAGGCCAAAGGAUGCUGGCAGAAGCCACAGUGAAAACGGAGCUCUCCAAGCAGGAAGAGGCAUCGUCAGCGUGGUCUUCAUCAUCAUCGUCCUCAUCGCUAGCGCCAGCAGACUGAGGAGACCCACCAGACCACUGAGUGCUCCUGGGCAUCACUUACCACGACAAACAUUGCACGCGGCUAAGGAACACGUUCUUUACCCCCAUUUAAUAGAUUAGGAAACCGAAGCUUAGAAUCCCAUGGUUAGUAAGGUGGAGCUGGAAUUCAGGUCCCGUAUCUAUUUAAAUCUCAAGUUUUAUAUUUUUUACCACUUCCCUAUACUGUCCUAAUAUGUCUUAAUUAUAGAGAAGAAGACGGAAAAAGUAGAAGGAGACUCUCAAUCCAAUUUACUUUCCACUUAGAAUGAAGUGGAGAAACUCCUGUAAGAUUUAAUCAGUUCUUAGGGUUUGAACCUUGGUCCUUAACCCCUGCAACCUGAGUUUGCCAACACACACAAGCUAUCGCUUUCCCUCAUCGACUAAGCAGCGAAACUCUGGACUUUCCUGCAUUUGCAUGAAAGCCUCACUUACAUAAACGCGUGCAUAUAUUUACUAGAUUUUAUGAAAUUUUUGGGAUGUGGUUGGGGGAUAGAAGAACAGUUUACAUUGUCAGAAAGCAAAUAACUUCAAUCUGAACGUCAGAUACCACUCAGCCCCCGGCCUGUACACGGUCAGGUCAUCCUCCGUGUCCUAUCCGCAGGUCAUCUCCUCUUCUGGCCCCUUUCACAGUCUGUUCUGGAUUGUUUCCCAAACUCCACGUUCUUCUUAUUCUAUUAAGUAGGGCCGUUCAGUUUUCUCCAGCUUCAGACUCUACUUGGUGCUCACCUUUGUGAAUCCAAAUCCAUCAAGAUGCUCAAUAGAGCCACAGGGCUCUCUAUAUUACAGACUCCACCUCUCCUAGAAGACAGGUGGUAGAAAUGUCCUCUCUAGGGCCACCACCCUUGAGAGACUGGACCCACUCCUGCAAGGACCUAGCAGAGCCUUAAAUCACUGCUAAGGGUAAUCCAGCAUCCCACACCCCUCCUGCUAGCCUGAACCAAGCAGAUUCCCCAGAGACUUAAUUUUGCUGGGUCUAGGUCUGGGUCUCUGCCUUCUGCUACUUCUGGGCUAGGCUGCAGUUUCUGGAACCCAGGGGACUGCUUGGGCUUCUGGGCUCCUUAAAGGGCAUUUGGCACCCUGUAAAAACUGCUUAUUAAAGGAAACAGUAGGACUGCUUCCCCUUUUAUAGCCUAGCCAUGGAAAGUAUGACCCACUUGGGGAGGUUGGAGGUGGAAGAUCGUAGACUUUGAGACAGUAGGUCGAGCCUGUAGAUGGAAAACAUGGGCCCUCGAGCUCUGAGGCCAAGUUCCUGGUGGUCAAAAGCCCAGUGAGGGCUCUACAACAAAUAAUGACAGCAGUUAAGACAUUCAACGGUUGAGCUUCGAGCUGAAGUUUCACAUUUUGCUUUUUUUCCUUCUUCUUCUUCACUCUUGAGGUUUGGCUCACCACUUUUUCCUCUCUCCUGAGGUCCUGUUCAUACAAGAGUGUCAUUAAGGCAUCUGCAAGGGGGGGCGAACGGUGACCAUGUCACACAGGAAGGCUGGCUGGCUGGCUGGAACUCCGCCCUCCUCCUCCUCCUCCUCCUCCUCCUCCUCCUCCUCUAGCUGGCCUGAAUCUCUUUGGUUUUUAGUUCUUCCUGAAGGGUCUUGGCAUGGAUGGCCUGCGUCUCUUUUCAAAAAUAAUUAGAACCAAAGGAAUUCAAAUUACAUCCUUUCUUGCCGUUAAUGCUGUUUUGCCAUAGUUUGUGAGGUAGGUAGGUGGAAGCAGGGUACCACUGGGACAUUUGGGUUUCCUUCCUGGACCUGAACCCAGUCAACUUCUCCUGCAGAGUAUGCCCAGGCUGCGCUAGCCCCUGAAACAUGAACGGCAAGUUAUGAGCACACGUGAGGCUCUUCGCACUCCCAAACUUGUGGCAGAAAUUACUAAUGAACCAAGGCUUCUUUACCCCCCCUCAGCUGAGCCUGGACGAUCCUGUGAUCCUCCUUAAUACAACUCGCCCAGCAGCUACUACUGGUUCUUGAGGUUGGCUUAGUGAUUGGAAUCCGCUUAGCUUCCCUGGUCCUUACCCUACGUUGCUCUGAGGCCCGGGAGGCGCGGCCUUGGCCUUCUCCGCAGGGGCUCGGCCAAAGGCAAGGUUAGUUGCAUAAAUUGUACGUUUGCUUCUGAAUCCAAAUGAAGCUCCUUCCCAAGCCUUCAGAUAUCUCGUACCUUCUUUCUCCCCUCUCCUGUCUACGUCCACUCUUCCUCUGCUCAGAAUGCACGCUGGCCUCCCAGGGAAGACUCUCUGCUUUCCAGGAUACUUGCUGUCAGUGAUGAAAGGGCCCACCUACUUCAGCUGAGACUCCCUUAGCCAUAAAUUUACACCACUUAACAGCAAUUAUUUUGGGUUGGGCCUUCAGUUAAAAUGAGAAAUACAUUACCUAGAAGAAACUGAGCUGUCUGGAGUUUCUGGAAUGUUGAGUGGGUGGCAGCUGGUUGACAGAAUGGUUGACUCAGGGUACUAGGGUGGAUAGAGCGGAACUCAAAUUGCUAUUAGACCACUUACUUGUCGGGUGACCUUUGGAUAGUUAAUUGAACCUCUUUGAACAUCCGUUUCCUCAUCAGUAAAACCCUAAGUCCUUAUCUGAUGUUGUGUUAUGAGGAGAAAAUAAGUUCAUACCUGUAAGGUACCUGGCACGGUUUGGCAAGUUCUGUGUACACGUGAGGCCCCUCCCCCCACCCCACCCUGGUGGCAGAUAACACUAAUGGACUGACAUGCUCCAUGAAUUUGUGCUGAUUUUAAUCUCUGCUUAUUGGCCACUUGACCAAAAGAUGACAUUAGUUGUCCAAGGUCGCACAGCUACUAAGGGAUAGAACUGGGUUUUGAUUCUAGGUCUACAGGAAACUACCUUGUUAUUCUUAACUACUGGCUGACGUUAGGCAAACUACCCCAAUCACUGGUUUCCUAGAGGAAGAAGUCAUUUCCUCACCUGGAAAAUGGAGGCCGUGUAACCUAUCCUACUGAGCUACUACAAGGAUGAAAUCCAUCAGUGUUGCAGCGGAAGGUGUGAUAUGUUAUGACUACGUGCUCUCACCUAUUUGCUGUCAUUGUCGUUGUCGUCGUUGUCGUCGUCGUCGUCGUCCUCCUCCUCCUCAUUAUCACUGUUGUUAGAUUUUUUUCUGCAUCUGCUCCCCCCUCCCCGGCACCCGGCACUGUAGCUAGCAUGUGACAGGUGUUUAGGAUGCGUUAGCAGCUCAGUGAGGGCAGCAUAUGGUAUUGUUACUCUAGUCAGGGAGGAGAAACGAAUGACUUUUGGGGCUGAGAACUCUGGCUGACCUCCUGGAAUCCUCAUAAACAAUUCCAGGAAACCUCUUUCUAGCUACCUUGGGAAAAGCCCGAAGAAGUAGCUCAGCCAAGCAAGGUUCAGAAGCUCUUCCCAGGCCCCACCGGAUCUUGGCUGUUUAUGGGUAUCCUGCAGGGGUUGACCUCCUAAAUGGCCAGUAAGAUAAGACUCGUUCUCUCAGGUUCAUGAGGGAAUAGCUCGUAGGCCUCCCGUGUGUGGGAAGAACAGAUGAUUGGAUCAUGUGGGAAAGGAGAUCUCAUUAACUGUUGUGUCCCUAUUUUUAACACCAAUGCCUGAAAUAGACCACUCCUGUUGAGAUUGUUUAGAGAGGUGUUUCUGUCACCAAGAGCUCCAAGAAAAUCAGGAUUCCCUGAGCUAUGGCCUGAACUAUACCCGGACAAAUGCUAACAUAAGAUUAAUUAUCUGGAUUAUUAUGCUUCCCCAUUCCUGGUAGGGACUCACUGAUUUGGGCAGCCUUCCUUUAACCUCUCAGUGGUCAUUUCCUUCUUGCAAACAUGUGAGUUCCAGUGAUGGCAACUUUUAUCUCUAUUGACCAAAUGGAAGUGGUAUACUUUGCUUCCAGAAUGCAUAUAUCUGUUUUUCCUCACGGUUCACCUGUUUUGUUUUUUUUAAAUAUUUUUAUAAGCUUUUAACUUCCAAAUAAUUGGAGAUUUACAAAAGUUGCAAAGAUAGUACAGAUAGUUCUCAUAUCCUUCACCCAACUUUCCCUAACAUCUUGCACAAUCACGGUACAUUUGUCAGAACUGGAAAUUAACAUCAGUACCAGUGAUAGUAACCAAGGCACAGAUUUUUUUUUGUGGAUUUUUUUUUUUUUGAUUCCAUGAUCCCACCCAGGAUUUCACAAUGUUGUAUUUUUUGUUUUUUAAAAAAGAUUUUAUUUAUUUAUUUAUUUAUUUAUUUAUUUAUUUAUUUGAGAAAGAGAAAGAGAGAGAGGUGAGGGGCAGAGGGAGAAGCAGACUCCCUGCUGAGCAGGGAGCCCAGUGUAGGGCUCUAUCCCAGGACCCCAGGAGCAUGACCUGAGCUGAAGGCAGAUGUUUCACCAAGUAAGCCACCCAGGCACCCUGACUUUCCUUGUUUUUUGAUGAACUUGAUACUUUUGAGGAGUACUCAUCAGGCAUUUUGUAGACUGUCCCUCAGUUGGAAUUUGUCUUGCGUUGCUUCCUCAUAAUUAGACUAGGGUUAUGGCUUUUUGGGCAAAGACUAUAGAUGUAAAGUGCCUUUUUUAUCGUAUCAUAUAAAGGGCAUGUACUCUCACAUAAUUUAUGAUUGUUGAUGUUGGCUUUGAUAUCACGGCUGAGGUAGUGUUAGGUGUUACUCCACAAAGUUACUCCCCCUAUCCAUACUGUACUCUUCAUCAGAAAGUCCCGAUGAAUAGCCCAUCUUUACGGAGAUUAUUAUGCUUCCCCAUUCCUGGUAGGGACUCACUGAUUUGGGCAGCCUUCCUUUAACCUCUCAGUGAUCAUUUCCUUCUUGCAAACAUGUGAGUUCCAGUGAUGGCAACUUUUAUCUCUAUUGACCAAUGGAAGUGGUAUACCUUGCUUCCAGAAUGCAUAUAUCUGUUUUUCCUCAUGGUUCACCUGUUGUUGUUGUUGUUGUUUUUAAUAUUUUUAUAAGCUUUAACUUCCAAAUAAUUGGAGAUUUACAGAAAAGUUGCAAAGAUAGUGCAGAUAGUUC